Molecule: long non-coding RNA, 437 nt
Filed under: Vulpes vulpes (red fox)
Lineage: Eukaryota; Metazoa; Chordata; Mammalia; Carnivora; Canidae
Description: lncRNA (ENSVVUG00000016032.1)
Source: RNAcentral
UGUCCCAUCCUUCAACAGAAACUGGAGUCCCUUGAUGUUAGUCAGCUUGUGGCUGAACCAACGGGGGGAAGAGGGUGGAGAGGCAAGCCAUGGGGUUGGGCUCCAUAUAGGAGCCCGGCUUCUUCAGUCUUCUGCGCCAGGGACCAGCUGGUCACAUUAUCCUUCCCCUGAACUGAUCUUUUCCCUGAAACCUUGGCUUGGAUCGCUUCCUGCAAACGAUGUGUAAUCUGCAUGUAUGCCAGUCACAGGACAUCUCCUCUGCUGGCAGUGUGCAAGGCCAAGGCAACAGUGAAACCAUCUCAUUAAUGAUUCAGCAUGCCACCCUAGUGGCCACUGGAGCGCACAGUCCACGUGUAGAUCUGAAGUGGGUGUUCGGCUCCUUGCCUUGGCUCCCUGGGAGAGACGCUCUUACCCCGGGCUGCAUAACCUUUAUGUGA